This 148-nucleotide non-coding RNA is filed under the name Homo sapiens (human). The record is from Rfam by way of RNAcentral. Lineage: Eukaryota; Metazoa; Chordata; Mammalia; Primates; Hominidae.
GCUGGGUGUGGUGGCGUAUGCCUGUAGUCCCAGCUACUUGGGAAGCUGAGGCAGGAGAAUUGCUUGAACCCGGGAGGUGGAGGUUGCAGUGGGCCAAGAUCACGCCACUGCACUCCAGCCUGGGUGACAGAGCGAGACUCCGUCUCCC